Molecule: RNase P RNA, 329 nt
Filed under: chicken gut metagenome
Description: Bacterial RNase P class A
Rfam family: Bacterial RNase P class A
About the family: Ribonuclease P (RNase P) is a ubiquitous endoribonuclease, found in archaea, bacteria and eukarya as well as chloroplasts and mitochondria. Its best characterised activity is the generation of mature 5'-ends of tRNAs by cleaving the 5'-leader elements of precursor-tRNAs.
Source: RNAcentral
GCCGAAUAAUCGCGCCUGAACGUAUCAGGUGAGGAAAGUCCGUGCAUUCAAGGACAGACCGCCGGAGAAAUUCCGGACGACGCGAGUCGGUGGAUAGGACCACAGAAAAUAUACAGCCUGAUUUUUCAGGCAAUGGUGCAACGGCGAGGUAAGAGCUCACCGGCGAUUACUGAGAAGUAUCGGCCAGGCAACCCCCGGUAGAAUGCAAGGUUAAAUUGAGGGCUACAAAGGCUGUCCGCCAACCUCAGACAAACCGCUUGAGAUUGAAAGUAAUUUCAAUACCAGACAGAUGAUUAUUUAGAAACAGAACACGGCUUAUGAACUGCUUU